This 510-nucleotide ribosomal RNA is filed under the name uncultured bacterium. Its description in RNAcentral is "partial 16S ribosomal RNA". It matches the Rfam family "Bacterial small subunit ribosomal RNA", at positions 28 to 507 of the family's 1533-position model. The record is from RNAcentral.
GACGAACGCUGGCGGCGUGCUUAACACAUGCAAGUCGAACGAAGAGCGAUGGAAGCUUGCUUCUAUCAAUCUUAGUGGCGAACGGGUGAGUAACGCGUAAUCAACCUGCCCUUCAGAGGGGGGCAACAGUUGGAAACGACUGCUAAUACCGCAUACGAUCUGACCUCGGCAUCGAGGAUAGAUGAAAGGUGGCCUCUAUUUAUAAGCUAUCACUGAAGGAGGGGAUUGCGUCUGAUUAGCUAGUUGGAGGGGGAACGGCCCACCAAGGCGAUGAUCAGUAGCCGGUCUGAGAGGAUGAACGGCCACAUUGGGACUGAGACACGGCCCAGACUCCUACGGGAGGCAGCAGUGGGGAAUCUUCCGCAAUGGACGAAAGUCUGACGGAGCAACGCCGCGUGAGUGAUGACGGCCUUCGGGUUGUAAAGCUCUGUUAAUCGGGACGAAAGGCCUUCUUGCGAAUAGUUAGAAGGAUUGACGGUACCGGAAUAGAAAGCCACGGCUAACUACGUG